Manis javanica (Malayan pangolin) is the source of this 1834-nucleotide long non-coding RNA. RefSeq lists it as uncharacterized. The record is from RefSeq and is a predicted model, not a curated record. Lineage: Eukaryota; Metazoa; Chordata; Mammalia; Pholidota; Manidae.
UAUUAUAUUCAACCAACUUUUUUAGCACUCUGAGUGAAACAUUUAUUCAUUAAAGAAGAUUUAUUAAAGAAUUAUGUGCUUGGCAUUGUGCUAAAGAUACAGCCCCUGAGAAGGCCACGCAAUGAUUUCCAGUAGAGAAGAGAAAUUCCAUCCACUUGAAAGAUUCACUGCAUGCUAAAUUCUUGGCAGCAAGCAACAGAAAGCAAUGAUCACAAAUGUACACAGAGAAAGAAUUCAUCGGUAGAGUAUUGGGGAGCUCAUGGAACUGAAGUCCCAGGCUUAACACGAGACAGGCACCCACAGGGGCCAUAGCCAAGGCCACAUGACAGAGACAAUUAGGGCCCAGCUUCCUCCUCCCACCUUGAGAUGUGCUCUAGUGACAAGGUCUGUUUUGCAUCAUCACCUUUUAAACCUGUGCUGACACAUUCCUUCUGCAGUGGAUCUUCACAUUCUUUAAGGAAAAGUGCUUGCAAGACAAAUAAAUCCUGCUCUUGCCAGGAUCCGUCUCCUGUGUGACUUCUGCAGGUAGCAUACCGACAGAACUCUUCCCCAACAGGCCCGGGAUGGAGAACAAAGGGGAGAAGGGAAGAGGGUAUCCUGUAUUCCCAGACUCUUGCCCCCACUUAGGCGCUCUGAGCCCUCAUGAAGAGAAGUGAGUAGAGGCGAGGUUGGGGGUCACCCUGCUCUGCCUGCCAGGCAACAUCGCCAGCCACGGGGAGCCCUGUCACUCAGAAGGAUCAGUGCCCUGCAUUCCUUCUGUGGUGCUGUUCCUGAGCCCCCCACAUCAGGUGUCACACUCUCCCCUAUCUGAGGGGCACACUCCCUUCUUCCUCUCUGUUGGGUCCUGCUUGCUUGAAAUUUGUAGCUUCCUGAAGACAGACUGGGAGAGUGAGGCUAGUCCCUCUAGGAGCUGCUGGGAUUCGUGUUGUAAUCCCACCCAAGGUUGGGAUCUCCAUCUCUCCGCUGACUCAUUACCCGUCUCUCACCCACGCUUCCCUCCCAGGCCUUCACCACUCUUGUUCAGGGGAUGACCAGCCCCACUCCUCGUGCCCAGUUCAGUGUCCAGUCUGGAGGUGCCCCUUCCCCCUCUGCAACGGAUUAAAAUAAAAUGAUGCACUGCAUUAUCUUCACCAUCCCAUUUGUAGAUUAUGGCUGCACUUUUACAAAUGGAAAGUAUUAUAAUAAUUAACAUGUGCCGAUGCCCUAGAGGUCAAAGGACAUCUGCUUCCUCCCCUAAAUAUCAGAGAGUGGAGAGUGACACUGUGGUGUCAUUCCUGGUGGAGCAGAGCCCAAGCCUGAGCACAUGACCCGGGGCUGGACUGCACUUCCCAGCAGACUUAAUAAAGUUUCAUCAAAUCUCUUCAGUUAAAGGCCCUCUGAUAUUAAGAAUUUGUUCUAGCAAAUCAGGAAACACUUCCUGUACAGCCAAUCAUGCACACAGCCGCUGUCCCCACAUUUCUAUGUAAUCCUAGGAGCAGCAAUCUGGAGAAAAGACGAAGCUACGGAAUCUGUCUUAAAGUGCCUUGCAGAAAUAAGAGAAUGUUUUUAUCUGGACUUUGUGUUUUUUUGGUGAGGCUUCGGGAAAUGUGGGUGGAGAUUCUGGAGAUACUGACCCACCUGUGCCAGUAUGCAUCCCGGAGGAGAGCCCGACGCUGGCGAGGGUGUCCGCAGCACGCAGGCUGUGGUGGGGGUGUUCUCGCCCGGUAGGGGGUGGGGGGAUCUAACAGUUGAAAUGAUGUGUGACACCCAAUAUUUCCUUAUGAUCUGCUUCUCUGGUUCCAGCAACCAAAAAAUCAGUUCAUUCUGAGUCUGAUGGUCUGAAUGCAUUAAACUA